RNAcentral lists this ribosomal RNA (231 nucleotides) under uncultured bacterium. RNAcentral's name for it is "partial 16S ribosomal RNA". It matches the Rfam family "Bacterial small subunit ribosomal RNA", at positions 15 to 244 of the family's 1533-position model. The record is from RNAcentral.
GUUCCUGGCUCAGAUUGAACGCUGGCGGCAUGCUUUACACAUGCAAGUCGAACGGCAGCACAGGGAGCUUGCUCCCGGGUGGCGAGUGGCGCACGGGUGAGUAAUACAUCGGAACGUGUCCUAUUGUGGGGGAUAACUGCUCGAAAGGGUGGCUAAUACCGCAUGAGACCUGAGGGUGAAAGCGGGGGAUCGCAAGACCUCGCGCAAUUGGAGCGGCCGAUGCCCGAUUAG